This 497-nucleotide ribosomal RNA is filed under the name uncultured bacterium. RNAcentral describes it as "partial 16S ribosomal RNA". It matches the Rfam family "Bacterial small subunit ribosomal RNA", at positions 38 to 507 of the family's 1533-position model. The record is from RNAcentral.
GGGGGGGGGGGGGGGGGGGGGGGGUGGGGGGGGGGGGGGGGGGGGGGGGGGGGGGUUGGUUCUGUGGUGUUGGGGGCGGGCGGGGGGGUAGCACGUGGAUGAGCUACCUAUAAGCCUGGGAUAACUUCGGGAAACCGGCGCUAAUACCGGGGAAUAGUUUGAACCUCAUGGGUCAAACGUGAAAGACGGUCUUGCUGUCACUUAUAGAUGGAUCCGCGCUGCAUUAGCGAGUUGGUAAGGUAACGGCUUACCAAGGCAACGAUGCAUAGCCUACCUGAGAGGGUGAUCGGCCACACUGGAACUGAGACACGGUCCAGACUCCUACGGGAGGCAGCAGUAGGGAAGCUUCCGCAAUGGGCGAAAGCCUGACGGAGCAACGCCGCGUGAGUGAUGAAGGUCUUCGGAUCGUAAAACUCUGUUAUUAGGGAAGAACAUAUGUGUAAGUAACUGUGCACAUCUUGACGGUACCUAAUCAGAAAGCCACGGCUAACUACGUG